Non-coding RNA from Elaeis guineensis (African oil palm), 344 nucleotides. The record is from RefSeq and is a predicted model, not a curated record. NCBI's taxonomy places the organism in Eukaryota, Viridiplantae, Streptophyta, Magnoliopsida, Arecales, Arecaceae.
UGAGGAGGAGGCAGCACAGUAGCAGCUCUAUAACAGCAUCAUCAUGGACGAUUGGAUUGCCAUAUACCGGUAGUACGAGGAUCCGACGUUUCAGAGACGAUGUGCCCAGAAUGCGGUGAAUCAGACGAGACAGACCGUACCGCAUUGUGGGGGUUCAAGAUUGUAUGUGUGUGUGUAUAUAUACAUGAGAGAUGCUGAGAGUGACGAACUUUUUGGUAGGAUCAAUAUCUACCAGCGGUCCAUCAGUGACGAUCGGGGGAGUGGACAACGGGGAGCCAGGAGCUCUUUGAUCGUAUGACAGACAUGAGAUCCCAGCUUACCUUUGAGGGCUCGAUCGCACCCAC